GCUGGGCAUGGUAGCUCAUGCCUGUAAUCCAAGCACUUUGGAGGCCAAGGCGGGUGGAUCACCUGAGGUCGGGAGUUCAAGACCAGCCUGACCAACAUGGUGAAACCUCGUCUUUA
This is an unclassified non-coding RNA of Callithrix jacchus (white-tufted-ear marmoset), 116 nucleotides long. It matches the Rfam family "Metazoan signal recognition particle RNA". From Rfam's summary of the family: The signal recognition particle (SRP) is a universally conserved ribonucleoprotein. It is involved in the co-translational targeting of proteins to membranes. The record is from Ensembl. Lineage: Eukaryota; Metazoa; Chordata; Mammalia; Primates; Cebidae.